Molecule: long non-coding RNA, 204 nt
Filed under: Lathyrus oleraceus (garden pea)
Lineage: Eukaryota; Viridiplantae; Streptophyta; Magnoliopsida; Fabales; Fabaceae
Description: Pisum sativum (pea) long non-coding RNA (PSAT_LNC031798)
Source: RNAcentral
UCAACCUGGAUGGUGUCUCCAACCAGGGGCUUGGUGGUUCAAGAGAUGGCGGAAAGAGAACGACCGUGGGUGUAGUAAACAAUGCUGGUGGUUUUGGUGCUGCCACUGGUGGUCAACCCGGUCAGAUGGGAAAUAACAUGAAAGACAGUCUAUUCCCGUCAUUCUUCGGGGCUGAUGAUGAUAGGGAGGAAGAUCGAGAAGCUG